GAAAGUCCCCUCCUUCCUUCCCUUCCUGGUAAUUAUGCAGAGACAUACAUGAAUACUUAUUAUUGUUUGGGGCUUAAAGACAUACUUUGCCUUUUCUGCAUUUCUACUGAAAUAGUAAUUCUUUCAGGGUGAAGCUUCACAUAUGAAGUCUCAAUUCCAGCUGCCACAUCAUUGUGUAUAAAGGCAUCACUCCCUGUGUCCCUGUGGGAAUUUCUUUCCAAUCCCCAAAUUGCUGAGACAAGCACCCUUUCACACUCCAAGGAACUAUGAAUUCUCACUCCAUUUUUUGACACAUGGAGACUUCUCUUUCUUUUUGGGGGUAACAAUAUACUUUAUUGAUGGUACAUGACAAGCAGUCACAAUAAUAAUCUAAAAAGAAAAUUCAUCUGGAAAUCAGAAAACCUGGUUUGCAGAGCUGGGACUGAAGCUUAACCGCACUGAUCAAUGACGUUUUAUCUAAAAUAUACAAGAUAUGCACAUUUAAGACAGUCCGUCUAUUGGAGGGAAAAAAAUUACCGAAACAUGAAAACCAUGAACCAAAACACGCCAUGUCUUGUCUGCCAUUUCUGGGUGACCUUUCAUCACCACUGUGAUAUCCUCUGUCACUCCUGA
Molecule: long non-coding RNA, 612 nt
Filed under: Vulpes vulpes (red fox)
Lineage: Eukaryota; Metazoa; Chordata; Mammalia; Carnivora; Canidae
Description: lncRNA (ENSVVUG00000014155.1)
Source: RNAcentral